ACCUAGUCCCACCACGCCCCCAAGGGUAUUCAGCAGUGAUAAAUAUUGUAUAUAAGCGCUAGCUUGAUUCAGUCACAGAGAAGAGAGCCGGCCAACUUGGUGCCAGCCGCCGCGGCUAGACCAACUGGACUCAAAUUGAUGACCUCCGGCGUUAAGCGUGAUUAAAGCUAUAUUAAAUUAGAGUUAAACCUGCAUUUAGUAGUGAAAAGCUCGUGACAGGGAGACCCAAAAACGAAAGUUACUCUAAUCCACUUGAAUACACGACAGCUAGAAAACAAACUGGGAUUAGAUACCCCACUAUGUCUAGCCGUAAACUAUAAACUCACACCAACCACGCCAGGGAAUUACGAGCUUUAGCUUAAAACCCAAAGGACUUGACGGUGCCCCACCCAGCUAGAGGAGCCUGUUCUAUAAUCGAUGAUCCCCGCUUAACCUAACCCUUUCUUGCUUUAUCAGCCUGUAUACCUCCGUCGUAAACCCGCCAUAUGAAUGUUUUAGCGGAUUCAAUGGCCUUAGCCACCAGCACGUCAGGUCAAGGUGCAGCCCAAUGAAAGGGGGCAAGCAAUGGGCCUACAAAUUUCUAAUCUAGAACAAUACGAAACUACUGCAUGAAAACACAGUCAUGAAGGAGGGAUUUAGGUAGUAAAAAGAAAUCAGCGAGUUCUUUUUUAACAUGGCCCUGGGGCGAGUACACA
RNAcentral lists this ribosomal RNA (695 nucleotides) under Hoplobatrachus occipitalis (groove-crowned bullfrog). RNAcentral's name for it is "partial 12S rRNA". It matches the Rfam family "Bacterial small subunit ribosomal RNA", at positions 318 to 1389 of the family's 1533-position model. The record is from RNAcentral. Lineage: Eukaryota; Metazoa; Chordata; Amphibia; Anura; Dicroglossidae.